Molecule: ribosomal RNA, 593 nt
Filed under: Plumularia pulchella
Lineage: Eukaryota; Metazoa; Cnidaria; Hydrozoa; Leptothecata; Plumulariidae
Description: partial 16S ribosomal RNA
Rfam family: Bacterial large subunit ribosomal RNA
Source: RNAcentral
AGCCCUAGAACAUUUUCUAAGGUGAUGCCUGCCCGGUGAUAAUGCUUAUAUAUUAAUAAUGAUCUUAAAAAAACUUUAUCAAACGGCCGCGGUAUUCCUGACCGUGUUAAGGUAGCACAAUCAAUUGCCGCCUAAUUAGCGGAUAGUAUGAAUGGUAGUACGAGGGUUUCACUGUCUCUAAAAUAGACCAAAGAAAAUUAAAAGAAUAGUUAAGAUGCUAUUUAAGAUCGUAAGACGAUAAGACCCUAUAAAGCUUUACUAUAAUCUUAUAAAUUUAUUAUUUUAUUUGUAAGGUUGGUAGUUUACUUGGGGCAAGGUUUCUUUAAAAAUAAAAAGAAUAAGCAAUAUUUAAUAUUAUAUAAAUUAAUUGUAUAAAAUAUAUUUUUAACAAUCACUAUGUGGGCUAUAAUGACCCGUAUAGACUUUAAAAAUUAGCUAUACGAUAAAUAAAUAAAAGCUACUUUAGGGAUAACAGGGUAAUUCAAACAAAGAGUUCUUAUCGCUGUUAGAGUUUGCCACCUCGAUGUUGAAUUGAGAUUUCCUGGCGGAGCAGGGACUGCCAAAGGUAGGACUGUUCGUCCUUUAAUAUCUUA